Molecule: long non-coding RNA, 334 nt
Organism: Actinia tenebrosa (Australian red waratah sea anemone)
Lineage: Eukaryota; Metazoa; Cnidaria; Anthozoa; Actiniaria; Actiniidae
Source: RefSeq, a predicted model, not a curated record
GACUGUGGAUCAGCAAGCAAACAAGCAASUAGAAGCAUGGCUUUUCACUGCGGCUCAUGCAACAAGUCUUUCACAGAAGAGACAAAUCUAGGCAUCCUUUCGGUUAAGUUGCUUCCCGCAUCGUUCACAGGUGAAUGAUCGCCCACUAGUUACUGAGUAUGAUCAAUUCGAUUACUGCAGACGCUGAAUGAGUACCAAUUCGCUAUUGGAUAAAAUACUUUAGAGGAGAUGAAAAUACUUUAGAGUGGUAUUUCUAAGUUCAUGUUAGAAAGAAUACAUAAUCGUCGUAUAACUAUGAAAUAUGGUUGAAUAAAACCGGGAUAUGUUCCGAAAA